Molecule: ribosomal RNA, 484 nt
Filed under: uncultured bacterium
Lineage: Bacteria
Description: partial 16S ribosomal RNA
Rfam family: Bacterial small subunit ribosomal RNA
Source: RNAcentral
AUUGAACGCUGGCGGCAGGCCUAACACAUGCAAGUCGAGCGGAUGAAGGGAGCUUGCUCCUGGAAUCAGCGGCGGACGGGUGAGUAAUGCCUAGGAAUCUGCCUGGUAGUGGGGGAUAACGUCCGGAAACGGGCGCUAAUACCGCAUACGUCCUGAGGGAGAAAGUGGGGGAUCUUCGGACCUCACGCUAUCAGAUGAGCCUAGGUCGGAUUAGCUAGUUGGUGGGGUAAAGGCCUACCAAGGCGACGAUCCGUAACUGGUCUGAGAGGAUGAUCAGUCACACUGGAACUGAGACACGGUCCAGACUCCUACGGGAGGCAGCAGUGGGGAAUAUUGGACAAUGGGCGAAAGCCUGAUCCAGCCAUGCCGCGUGUGUGAAGAAGGUCUUCGGAUUGUAAAGCACUUUAAGUUGGGAGGAAGGGCAGUAAGGUAAUACCUUGCUGUUUUGACGUUACCAACAGAAUAAGCACCGGCUAACUUCGUG